CCUGCCUGUGGUCAUAUGCUUGUCUCAAGGAUUAAGCCAUGCAUGUGUUAGAACAGUUCCUUGCUAUUGAACGAGUCUGCGAACGGCUCAAUAUCACAGAAAUAAUCCGUGACGGACCAAAUCAAAAAACGGAUAACCAGGUCAACGCCUAGCUAAUACGUGGUAGAUUGAGAAUACCCCGCGUGAGGGGAGGCGCUUGGUGUUCGUCUGGCUAAUCUUCGCGGGGAAUCGCCCCCGUGGUGGUGGUUUUCGCCUUGUCGCCGUGGGCGGGGGGUGGACCUCAUCAUGGGCUCUGUGGAGACUGUUGGAAUAGACCCAAGUUUGCCCAUCGCAUACACUCCAGUUGGCCCCAGUUGGUGGAUUGAAGCAUAAUGUGGCGAGGUUCGUCUUGAGCUUCUGCCCGAUCAAUUCGCCGGCACGGAAACCGCAUUCCGGGGUAGCCACUGGUACCGGAAAACUAGGGUUUGAUUCCGGAGAGGAAGCUCGAGAGAUGGCUGCCAGGUCUAAGGAUCGCAGCAGGCGCGCAAAUUACCCAAUCUUGACUCAAGGAGGUAGUGACGAGGAAUAUCGACCCCGUACUAAAGUGCGGGAUGUCGGAAUGAGACGAUUGCAAAAACGUCACCUAGAAUCGAUUGGAGGGCAAGUUCUGGUGCCAGCAGCCGCGGUAAUUCCAGCUCCAAUAGCAUAUAUUAAAAUUGCUGCGGUUAAAAAGCUCGUAGUCGGUGUCUUUGGCACCCGUAUGUCGCCCGGGAGAAGGGGCGGGUCUCGGCGCUCACGUGGCCGGCUUGAAACACCGGUCGCGGGUUCGUGAUUUCGGUCUCUACCAUGCCGCACGGCAGGUGUGGGGGGGCCGGGGUCGCCCGUACCUGUCUGGGAAGGACUGGGUGGCCUGUCUUGUGUUGGGUCCUGAACGUCGGCGUCCGCAAAAAAGCCUCGAAGUCAUACCAAACUCGCGAGAGGACGGAGGGGUGCGGGUCGCGUCGGCGGGAUGCCCUUCGCAUGGUUACUGUGAUCAAAUCAGUGUGUUUAUGACUGGGUACCCGGCCCUCAAAAGCCGUGGUAUGCCUGAAUGAAUUAGCAUGGAACAACAUCUUCGGACCGGGUCAAAAAGGCCCAAGAUCGCUCUCGGUGGGGCCCGUCAAACGGUUCUGCUGGGGGUGACCCAGAGCGGCUUCUCUCCACUAGCCAGGAGGUUGCUGUUUCUGCAUUCGAAAGGACCAAUCGAGACCACGGGUAUCAUGGCGGGAGAGGUGAAAUUCAAUGAUCGUCAUGGGACCUCCAACGGCGAAAGCACGUGGUUAGCAUUGGUUCGUUGAUCAAGGACGAAAGCCAGAGGAGCGAAGACGAUCAGAUACCGUCGUAGUUCUGGCUAUAAACGAUGCAAACCAGUUGUCGUCAGUCUGUCAAGAUCAUUCCUGACGCUGGCGGCGGCCCCCCGGGAAACUCAUAAGUCUUUGGGUUCCGGGGGGAGUAUGGUCGCAAGGCUGAAACUUAAAGGAAUUGACGGAAGGAUACCACCACGGUGUGGAAUGUGCGGCU
Molecule: ribosomal RNA, 1539 nt
Filed under: uncultured soil eukaryote
Lineage: Eukaryota
Description: partial small subunit ribosomal RNA
Rfam family: Eukaryotic small subunit ribosomal RNA
Source: RNAcentral